RNAcentral lists this ribosomal RNA (484 nucleotides) under uncultured bacterium. RNAcentral describes it as "partial 16S ribosomal RNA". It matches the Rfam family "Bacterial small subunit ribosomal RNA", at positions 30 to 507 of the family's 1533-position model. The record is from RNAcentral.
AUUGAACGCUGGCGGCAGGCCUAACACAUGCAAGUCGAGCGGAUGAAGGGAGCUUGCUCCUGGAUUCAGCUGCGGACGGGUGAGUAAUUCCUAGGAAUCUGCCUGGUAGUGGGGGAUAACGUCCGGAAACGGGCGCUAAUACCGCAUACGUCCUGAGGGAGAAAGUGGGGGAUCUUCGGACCUCACGCUAUCAGAUGAGCCUAGGUCGGAUUAGCUAGUUGGUGGGGUAAAGGCCUACCAAGGCGACGAUCCGUAACUGGUCUGAGAGGAUGAUCACUCACACUGGAACUGAGACACGGUCCAGACUCCUACGGGAGGCAGCAGUGGGGAAUAUUGGACAAUGGGCGAAAGCCUGAUCCAGCCAUGCCGCGUGUGUGAAGAAGGUCUUCGGAUUGUAAAGCACUUUAAGUUGGGAGGAAGGGCAGUAAGUUAAUACCUUGCUGUUUUGACGUUACCAACAGAAUAAGCACCGGCUAACUUCGUG